GGUUGUAGCUCAGUGGUAGAGCGUUUGCCUCACAUGCAUGAGGCACUGAGUUUGAUCCUCAGCACCA
Molecule: transfer RNA, 67 nt
Filed under: Marmota monax (woodchuck)
Lineage: Eukaryota; Metazoa; Chordata; Mammalia; Rodentia; Sciuridae
Description: tRNA.Val
Rfam family: tRNA
About the family: Transfer RNA (tRNA) molecules are approximately 80 nucleotides in length. Their secondary structure includes four short double-helical elements and three loops (D, anti-codon, and T loops).
Source: RNAcentral